RNAcentral lists this long non-coding RNA (362 nucleotides) under Bos taurus (domestic cattle). Its description in RNAcentral is "long non-coding RNA NONBTAT026570". Lineage: Eukaryota; Metazoa; Chordata; Mammalia; Artiodactyla; Bovidae. The record is from RNAcentral.
AAUACUGAAGGUACAAGUCUUCUAGCCUAAACUGUACAUUUCAGAGCUCAGUAAUCACCCCUCUCUGUUUUCUUCAACAGCACAAAAAAGAUUCUUUCAAAUUCAAUCAUUUAGAGAAAACAAUAUAUACUACACAGUGGUUCUGAAUCAUAAAAUUUAAUAAUAGGACCAAUUUGGCCAGACCAUAAGAUAAAUAUGCUACACUGUAAUUCAAAGCACAGGGAAAUCAAAAAAACAAGAGUGUAGUUCAUUAUAAAAGGACAGAUGAUAAUUAGAUCCAAUUGGUUAACCUCAAAGUCAGUUUACUUAACAUCAAGGUAGUGCCAACACCAUAUACUUUACUUUCAAAGGCUUAACUAUGA